Molecule: unclassified non-coding RNA, 294 nt
Filed under: Helicophyllum torquatum
Lineage: Eukaryota; Viridiplantae; Streptophyta; Bryopsida; Hedwigiales; Helicophyllaceae
Description: sequence contains 18S rRNA gene, ITS1, 5.8S rRNA gene, ITS2 and 28S rRNA gene
Source: RNAcentral
CGGAAGGAUCAUUGCCCACACACGCUUUGUUCGUUUGCAGUAAACUUGCCGGCCGACUGACGAGACGAUUUUGGUUUGUUUUGUUCGGUUCGGUUCGGUUUGGUUUGGAGAGAACUGUCACACUGUCCCCGCCUGAACCGCGUGAUUAAUGAGUUCGGCGCGGUCCCGGUCGCUCGGGUCCGCCGCUCGUUCCUCUUUUGACCGAUGGCGCAAUGCAUCGACCUUUGACUUUUCUGACUGAGUCCCGGAACGACUUUGAAUAGGGUGGUGGUUGAUUGGUCGGUCGGUGGGGGG